GCUCCCUUCGUCUAUCGGUUAGGACGUCAGAUUUUCAAUUUGAAAAGACGGGUUCGACUCCCGUAGGGAGCGCCA
Molecule: transfer RNA, 75 nt
Filed under: Hyphomicrobiales bacterium
Lineage: Bacteria; Pseudomonadati; Pseudomonadota; Alphaproteobacteria; Hyphomicrobiales
Also listed under: 1 other name
Description: tRNA-Glu
Rfam family: tRNA
About the family: Transfer RNA (tRNA) molecules are approximately 80 nucleotides in length. Their secondary structure includes four short double-helical elements and three loops (D, anti-codon, and T loops). Further hydrogen bonds mediate the characteristic L-shaped molecular structure. tRNAs have two regions of fundamental functional importance: the anti-codon, which is responsible for specific mRNA codon recognition, and the 3' end, to which the tRNAs corresponding amino acid is attached (by aminoacyl-tRNA synthetases). tRNAs cope with the degeneracy of the genetic code in two manners: having more than one tRNA (with a specific anti-codon) for a particular amino acid; and 'wobble' base-pairing, i.e. permitting non-standard base-pairing at the 3rd anti-codon position.
Source: RNAcentral